AAUCAACGCUGGCGGCGUGCCUCAGACAUGCAAGUCGAACGAUUAAAGCUCUCUUCGGAGAGUGUAUAGAGUGGCGUACGGGUGAGUAACACGUAAGUAAUCUACCUUUGAGUGGGGAAUAACGUCCGGAAACGGACGCUAAUACCGCAUAAUGCAGCGGCAUCGCAAGAUGACAGUUGUUAAAGAAUUUAUUCGCUUGAAGAGGAGCUUGCGGCAGAUAGCUAGUUGGUAAGGUAAUGGCUUACCAAGGCUACGAUCUGUAACCGGUCUAAGAGGACGGUCGGUCACACUGACACUGAAUAAC
RNAcentral lists this ribosomal RNA (304 nucleotides) under uncultured bacterium. RNAcentral describes it as "bacterial SSU rRNA". It matches the Rfam family "Bacterial small subunit ribosomal RNA", at positions 32 to 327 of the family's 1533-position model. The record is from RNAcentral.